Cordylochernes scorpioides is the source of this 75-nucleotide non-coding RNA. The record is from the annotation of a GenBank genome assembly. Lineage: Eukaryota; Metazoa; Arthropoda; Arachnida; Pseudoscorpiones; Chernetidae.
UGUCAUGGGAUGGGAAUCGAACCCACAGUGUUCCGCUUACCGGGCAGAUGCCAUGUCCACUAGGCUACCCUGGAC